UACAGAGGUCCCAAGCGUUGUUCGGAUUCACUGGGCGUAAAGGGUGCGUAGGUGGCCAGGUAAGUUCGGUGUGAAAGCUCGGAGCUUAACUUCGAAAUGGCAUUGAAUACUAUCUGGCUGGAGGGCUGGAGGGGAGACUGGAAUUCUCGGUGUAGCAGUGAAAUGCGUAGAUAUCGAGAGGAACACCAGUGGCGAAGGCGAGUCUCUGGACAACACCUGACACUGAGGCACGAAAGCCAGGGGAGCAAAC
RNAcentral lists this ribosomal RNA (250 nucleotides) under uncultured Verrucomicrobiota bacterium. Its description in RNAcentral is "uncultured Verrucomicrobia bacterium partial 16S ribosomal RNA". It matches the Rfam family "Bacterial small subunit ribosomal RNA", at positions 524 to 773 of the family's 1533-position model. Lineage: Bacteria; Pseudomonadati; Verrucomicrobiota. The record is from RNAcentral.